CCUACGGGAGGCAGCAGUGAGGAAUAUUGGUCAAUGGACGCAAGUCUGAACCAGCCAUGCCGCGUGCAGGAAGACGGCUCUAUGAGUUGUAAACCUCUUUUGUCGGGGAGCAACGAGGCCACGUGUGGCCGAAGUGAGAGUACCCGAAGAAAAAGCAUCGGCUAACUCCGUGCCAGCAGCCGCGGUAAUACGGAGGAUGCGAGCGUUAUCCGGAUUUAUUGGGUUUAAAGGGUGCGUAGGCGGAACAUUAAGUCAGCGGUAAAAUCGAGGGGCUCAACCCCUUUAAGCCGUUGAAACUGGUGAUCUUGAGUGGGCGAGAAGUAUGCGGAAUGCGUGGUGUAGCGGUGAAAUGCAUAGAUAUCACGCAGAACUCCGAUUGCGAAGGCAGCAUACCGGCGCCCGACUGACGCUGAGGCACGAAAGCGUGGGGAUCGAACAGGAUUAGAUACCCUGGUAGUC
This 459-nucleotide ribosomal RNA is filed under the name uncultured bacterium. RNAcentral describes it as "partial 16S ribosomal RNA". It matches the Rfam family "Bacterial small subunit ribosomal RNA", at positions 338 to 795 of the family's 1533-position model. The record is from RNAcentral.